This 447-nucleotide ribosomal RNA is filed under the name uncultured bacterium. RNAcentral describes it as "bacterial SSU rRNA". It matches the Rfam family "Bacterial small subunit ribosomal RNA", at positions 328 to 792 of the family's 1533-position model. The record is from RNAcentral.
UGUCCAGACUCCUACGGGAGGCAGCAGUGGGGAAUAUUGCACAAUGGGGGAAACCCUGAUGCAGCGACGCCGCGUGAGCGAAGAAGUAUUUCGGUAUGUAAAGCUCUAUCAGCAGGGAAGAAAAUGACGGUACCUGACUAAGAAGCCCCGGCUAAAUACGUGCCAGCAGCCGCGGUAAUACGUAUGGGGCAAGCGUUAUCCGGAUUUACUGGGUGUAAAGGGAGUGCAGGCGGCUUGGCAAGUCUGAUGUGAAAGGCUGGGGCUCAACCCCAGGACUGCAUUGGAAACUGUUAGGCUGGAGUGUCGGAGAGGUAAGCGGAAUUCCUAGUGUAGCGGUGAAAUGCGUAGAUAUUAGGAGGAACACCAGUGGCGAAGGCGGCUUACUGGACGACAACUGACGCUGAGGCUCGAAAGCGUGGGGAGCAAACAGGAUUAGAUACCCCGGUA